CAGCCGCCGCGGGAAUACAGAGGGUGCAAGCGUUAAUCGGAAUUACUGGGCGUAAAGCGCGCGUAGGUGGUUUGUUAAGUUGGAUGUGAAAUCCCCGGGCUCAACCCGGGAACUGCAUCCAAAACUGGCAAGCUAGAGUAUGGUAGAGGGUGGUGGAAUUUCCUGUGUAGCGGUGAAAUGCGUAGAUAUAGGAAGGAACACCAGUGGCGAAGGCGACCACCUGGACUGAUACUGACACUGAGGUGCGAAAGCGUGGGGAGCAAACAGGAUUAGAUACCCCAGUAGUCCCUGUCUCUUAUAC
Molecule: ribosomal RNA, 301 nt
Filed under: uncultured bacterium
Lineage: Bacteria
Description: partial 16S ribosomal RNA
Rfam family: Bacterial small subunit ribosomal RNA
Source: RNAcentral